This 433-nucleotide ribosomal RNA is filed under the name uncultured bacterium. RNAcentral's name for it is "partial 16S ribosomal RNA". It matches the Rfam family "Bacterial small subunit ribosomal RNA", at positions 29 to 507 of the family's 1533-position model. The record is from RNAcentral.
AACGAACGCUGGCGGCAUGCCUAACACAUGCAAGUCGAACGAAGGCUCCGGCCUUAGUGGCGCACGGGUGCGUCACGCGUGGGAAUCUGCCCUUUGCUUCGGAAUAACAGUUAGAAAUGACUGCUAAUACCGGAUGAUGUCGCAUGACCAAAGAUUUAUCGGCAAAGGAUGAGCCCGCGUAGGAUUAGCUUGUUGGUGGGGUAAAGGCCUACCAGGGCGACGAUCCUUAGCUUGUCUGAGAGGAUGAUCAGCCACACUGGGACUGAGACACGGCCCAGAAUCCUACGGGAGGCAGCAGUGGGGAAUAGUGGACAACGGGCGGAAGCAUGAUCCAGCAAUGCCGCGUGAGUGAUGAAGGCCUUAGAGUAGUAAAGCUCUUUUACCCGGGAUGAUAAUGACAGUACCGAGAGAAUAAGCUCCGGCUAACUCCGUG